AGCGACCAAGCCGCAGGUGGCGGCGAGCGCGGGGCUCGGCCCGAGCUCAGGAGAUGGGGAAACUGAGGCACGGAGCUGGACAGUAACUCAGACACCAGGUGAACAUUGGCUUUUGAGGGCAGGGUUGGGACUCGUGGGGGCAGCAAUGCCAGCUGGGUCAUCACAGUGAGGAGUGAGCUCUGACUCCCAGGAGGGUACAUAAGGAGCCGCCUGGAGUGGAGCUGAGAGCUCAGGUCUGGGCUCAGCCAGUCCAGAGUGCAAAUCUACUGUCCCUUCCUAGCUGUGUGAUCUUGGCAAGCACUGGACGGGGCCUGCAGGGGUCUCCACAGAGACCAUCAGGAUGUCGUAUUUUGGGGAGCAUUUUUGGGGCGAGAAAAAUCAUGGCUUUGAGGUCCUGUACCACAGCGUGAAGCAGGGGCCCAUCUCCACCAAGGAGCUGGCGGACUUCAUCCGGGAGAGGGCCACCAUCGAGGAGACCUACUCGAAGGCGAUGGCGAAACUCUCCAAGCUAGCCAGUAACGGGACCCCAAUGGGCAGGGCUCAGCGUGCAGCACAUACCUGAGCCAGUGCCAGCGCUGUCCCGGGU
This 586-nucleotide small RNA is filed under the name Pongo abelii (Sumatran orangutan). RNAcentral's name for it is "processed transcript". Lineage: Eukaryota; Metazoa; Chordata; Mammalia; Primates; Hominidae. The record is from RNAcentral.